AAUGAACGCUGGCGGCAGGCCUAACACAUGCAAGUCGAACGAACCCUUCGGGGUGAGUGGCGCACGGGUGAGUAACACGUGGGAAUUUACACUUAGGUGCGGAAUAACAGUUGGAAACGACUGCUAAUACCGCAUAAUGACUCCGGUCCAAAGAUUUAUCGCCUAAGGAUAAGCCCGCGUCUGAUUAGGUAGUUGGUAGGGUAAUGGCCUACCAAGCCUACGAUCAGUAGCUGGUUUGAGAGGAUGAUCAGCCACACUGGGACUGAGACACGGCCCAGACUCCUACGGGAGGCAGCAGUGAGGAAUAUUGGACAAUGGGGGCAACCCUGAUCCAGCCAUGCCGCGUGAACGAAGAAGGCCUUAGGGUUGUAAAGUUCUUUCAGGGGUGAAGAUAAUGACGGUAACCCCAGAAGAAGCUCCGGCUAACUCCGUGCCAGCAGCCGCGGUAA
RNAcentral lists this ribosomal RNA (449 nucleotides) under uncultured bacterium. RNAcentral describes it as "bacterial SSU rRNA". It matches the Rfam family "Bacterial small subunit ribosomal RNA", at positions 29 to 523 of the family's 1533-position model. The record is from RNAcentral.